CCUACGGGAGGCAGCAGGCUAGAAAAUUGGGCAAUGGGCGAAAGCCUGACCCAGUGACGCCGCGUGAAUGAUGAAGGCCUUCGGGUUGUAAAGUUCUGUGAGAAGGGAAGAUGGGGUGCAAUGUUAAUACCAUUGUACUCUGACGUUGUACCUUCAGAGGAAGCUCCGGCUAACUCCGUGCCAGCAGCCGCGGUAAUACGGAGGGAGCAAGCGUUGUCCGGAAUCACUGGGCGUAAAGGGAGCGUAGGUGGAUAGGUAGUUGGAUGGUGAAAUCUUACGGCUCAACCGUGAAAUUGCAUCCAAUACUGCCUUUCUUGAGUGCAGAAGAGGAGAGCGGAACUCCUAGUGUAGCGGUGGAAUGCGUAGAUAUUAGGAGGAACACCAGUAGCGAAAGCGGCUCUCUGGUCUGUUACUGACACUGAGCUCGAAAGCUAGGGGAGCAAACA
This 446-nucleotide ribosomal RNA is filed under the name uncultured bacterium. RNAcentral describes it as "bacterial SSU rRNA". It matches the Rfam family "Bacterial small subunit ribosomal RNA", at positions 338 to 774 of the family's 1533-position model. The record is from RNAcentral.